ACAUGACGCCAUGUCUCUCACAGCCCAUUAUAUAAGCAAAGACUGGCAACUGGAGGCGAAGUGUUUGGCCACAUCCUUCGUCCCAGAAAAUCAAACGAAAGAUGUGCUGGCAGACGCCCUCAAAGUCGGCGCUCAAGAGUGGGGCAUAGAGGAAGAGAAGAUAUCCUGCAUCACAACCGACAAUGGUGCAAACAUUAUUGCAGCCGUCCGGGAGCUCAAAUGGCCCUGGUUGAACUGCUUUGGACAUAAUUUGAAUAUGGCCAUAAACAACGCACUUGACGGAGAAAAGGAUCGCACUAGUCGUGCGUUUGGGGUCUGCCGGGCAAUCAACGGCGCCUUUUCUCAUAGUUGGCAACGGAAACGGGAGCUGAGCAAAGCCCAGGAUGAGCUACCACUCCCCAACCAUGCUUUGAUUACGGACUGUGCAACACGUUGGGGUUCGAAGCAGAAGAUGGCAGAGAGGAUACUGGAACAGGCCACAGCAAUCAAGAGGGUUUUCGCAAACGACAGAAGCCCCCGUCCCCUGCCAAACCUGACGUGGCAAGAUGAAGCUGUGCUGGAGGCAGUGAGUCUCUUCCUUGCUGCCCACGCUACAAUUAUUGAAAGACAACGUCUUGAAGGAAGACGACGAUGACGUCCGGAUGACGUCCGUCAUUAAAAGCGGGGUGCUGCUGGAACUAGAUAACAAAUACGACAAUGAAGCGUCAUUAAAAUUAAUGCGCUUAUCUGCUCUCCAUAUCGAUGCCGUUUCCCUCGACAGCACGAGAGUUUGAUUGGAGGCAGAGAUGGUGUCAUUCUGCAGGAGGCAGACCACCGGACAGGUAAGGGUCAGAGUGGAGGAUGUUGAGACGGAGCAGCCAGUGGCACCUAUUCCACCACCACCACCACCUAAGAAAAUAAAACCUUCCCUGGGUAGCCUUUUGAGAAAGGCGAAGCAACCUUUGACACUCACUGAGGAGCAACGGGCAAACGCAGAAGUAACAGCCUACCUGCAAGAAGAUGCACUGGAUGGGGACAGUGACCCACUCGCAUGGUGGAAGGCAAACGAGAACCGCUUUCCGUUAAUGGCCAAGAUUGCGAGUAAAUAUCUUUGUAUAUGCGCUACUAGUUCACUUUCUGAGCGUGUAUUUAGCACUGCAGGCAACGUUGUCACGCCACUGAUGAGCUUGUUGAAGCCAGAAAAGGUGAAUAUGCUGGUGUUCUUGUCCAGAAACCUGUAGGCUAUGCACACACUUUAAAAUGUGUAUUUAUUAUUAGGCUUUUAGGCAUACAUUUGGACUAUUUCGUUCCUCUGAAUCCAAAUUAGGUUUUCUUUCGAUUGGUUCUACAGUCUGCAAUAUUCCUAGCAAAUGUUUGCAAAAUGCCCAUUUUUAUUUUAUUUGCUCUGAAAUAAUUUAUUUUCAUUUUCUUAAUUUGCGAAAUUGACACUUAGACUUAAUUUUAAAUUGUAUUUAUUAUUAUGCUUUUAGGCCUACUUGCAUGAACAAUACAAUUGGACCAUUAUUGUUUGUCAGCUAAAGCUUGUAAACAUUGGAUUAUUCGUUCCUUUGAAUCCAAAUUUCGUUUUCUUUCGACUGCGUUCUGCAGUCUGCAAUGGGCCUAGCCAAUUUUGUGCCCAUUUCUAUUUUAUUUGCUCUGCCAGCAUUUUUUUUUCGUUUUAAAAGAGUUUUGUGAAGACUUCGCCAUCUGUUAUACUUGUGUUAUGUUCAAUACUCAGUUAUAAUUGUUCUUUAAAAGCGUUUUGUAAGUGGGCCUACAUAUAUAGCCUCCCUUGAAGCGAAUGUCUUAUUAUUCUGUUCCAAAUAAACCCGGCAACCUUUUGA
This is a long non-coding RNA of Gadus morhua (Atlantic cod), 1823 nucleotides long. RefSeq lists it as uncharacterized. Lineage: Eukaryota; Metazoa; Chordata; Actinopteri; Gadiformes; Gadidae. The transcript is spliced from 2 exons. The record is from RefSeq and is a predicted model, not a curated record.